Molecule: ribosomal RNA, 253 nt
Filed under: uncultured bacterium
Lineage: Bacteria
Description: partial 16S ribosomal RNA
Rfam family: Bacterial small subunit ribosomal RNA
Source: RNAcentral
UACGUAGGUGACCAGCGUUGUCCGGAUUUACUGGGCGUAAAGAGCGCGCAGGUGGUUCGUUGCGUCGUGCGUGAAAGACCCCGGCUCAACUGGGGAGUGUCGUGCGAUACGGGCGAACUGGAGGCCAGUAGGGGGAUGCGGAAUUCCGGGUGUAGUGGUGGAAUGCGUAGAGAUCCGGAGGAACACCAGCGGCGAAGGCGGCAUCCUGGACUGGUCCUGACACUCAGGAGCGAAAGCGUGGGGAGCGAUCCGG